UGGCGUGUCGAUAUUGAAGCACAAAUACUCAGCAGAAAUCUCAGUCGGGAAGAGGUUGAUCAGACCCCGCUUGGAUGUUUUAUCAUUCCCAAGUGAUUAUAUGUUUGAGCGUUUCUGUUUUUCUGCACAAUCGAUCGUUCAUCUGAACAAUAUUCUCAGCCCUCAUAUCGUUCAUAUGACUCAUCGUGGACAUGCUCUCAGUUCGGAACAAAUUCUUUGUGUUGCACUUCGCCAAAGUGAGUUUUCCAUAUAACAUCGGUGACGCUGAGCAUAUUUCCAAGGCAACCGUCUGUCAGGUUGUCAGAAAUGUGACUCUUGCACUGAAACGUUUACUGUAUACUUUUGUGGUGUUCCCAAGUCACAGACCCACAAGACUCAUCAAGGAAGACUUCCACAGAAUUGCAGAUCAUAUGUGAUGCAGCCCACAUCAUCUGCGACUGAGAAGCAAAGUGGCCUGGAUCUGUGCAUGACUCGCACAUUUUUCGUGAGUGUACACUGAGCACUAGAUUUGCCCCUGGUGAGUUCGAUGGUUACCUGCUCGGUGACAGAGGGUACCCCUGCCAACCCUAUUUGCUGACCCCUUACCCUGAUCCUGUGCCCAGCCCGCAGCAACAUUAUAACUUGGCUCACUGCAGGACACGAGCCAGGGUAGAGAUGACCAUUGGGAUGCUCAAGGCCCGGUUCCAGUGCCUUCGAAGGCUCAGGGUCACCCCAGAAAGGGCAUGUGACAUUAUUGUGGCAUGUGUGAUUCUCUACAACAUUGCAACAAUUAGAGGAGAACAAUUGUCACCCCCCUGACCUUAGAGAUCCUUUUUAUUUUUAUUUAUCCAUGUUUUUUCCUCCAGCAUCUUCACAUGGUCCUG
Molecule: long non-coding RNA, 863 nt
Organism: Oncorhynchus kisutch (coho salmon)
Lineage: Eukaryota; Metazoa; Chordata; Actinopteri; Salmoniformes; Salmonidae
Exons: 3
Source: RefSeq, a predicted model, not a curated record